RNAcentral lists this ribosomal RNA (495 nucleotides) under uncultured bacterium. RNAcentral describes it as "partial 16S ribosomal RNA". It matches the Rfam family "Bacterial small subunit ribosomal RNA", at positions 28 to 507 of the family's 1533-position model. The record is from RNAcentral.
GACGAACGCUGGCGGCGUGCCUAAUACAUGCGAGUAGAACGCUGAAGGAGGAGCUUGCUUCUCUGGAUGAGUUGCGAACGGGUGAGUAACGCGUAGGUAACCUGCCUGGUAGCGGGGGAUAACUAUUGGAAACGAUAGCUAAUACCGCAUAAUAGUAGAUGUUGCAUGACAUUUGCUUAAAAGGUGCAGUUGCAUCACUACCAGAUGGACCUGCGUUGUAUUAGCUAGUUGGUGGGGUAACGGCUCACCAAGGCGACGAUACAUAGCCGACCUGAGAGGGUGAUCGGCCACACUGGGACUGAGACACGGCCCAGACUCCUACGGGAGGCAGCAGUAGGGAAUCUUCGGCAAUGGACGGAAGUCUGACCGAGCAACGCCGCGUGAGUGAAGAAGGUUUUCGGAUCGUAAAGCUCUGUUGUAAGAGAAGAACGAGUGUGAGAGUGGAAAGUUCACACUGUGACGGUAUCUUACCAGAAAGGGACGGCUAACUACGUG